CAUGUCCAGAAGGAUGGAGUGUACUUGGAAAGUGUUACUACAUGCCUCCUUUUUCGCAAAGCUGGACCGAAGCCCGUAGCACCUGUCAAGGUGUGGGGGCUGAUCUUGUGACCAUUGACAGCAGAGAGGAACAGGCUUUCAUCACUAAGCUGAACUCCAAUGCAUGGGGAUGGAUUGGCCUGCAAAAAUAUGGGAGCAACUGGAAGUGGGUGGAUGGUACGCUUCCCAACUUAAGAUACUGGACACCUGGACAGCCCAACGGUGGUGCCAACGAGAACUGUGCUAUGACCGGAUGGCCUGACGCAGGCGGAAACCCCAUGCUCACCUGGCAGGACUAUCCAUGUAGCUCACCAUUCCGACCCACAUGCGAGAAACAAGCUAAUUAGGGGUUUAUUUGCCUCGCUUUCACACCUGUGUUUGCCUGGUUACCACCAGACCUAAUCACAAGGGAGUGAUUGUGCAAAGCAGUAUGGGAAUUCUCAGGUUACACCAGUGUAGUUCCGCACAGCUCCACUUAGGUGCUGUUAACACUUAUCCGGAGAUUUUAAAUGUGGAUAUUUUUUAUCCUGUUUAUGUGUAAAACGCAACAUAUGGAUAAAAAUAAAAAUUCCCUUGUAACAGUCCCAGUUAAGCCACCUAAAUGUGCUAUUCUUUAAAUUUGGAUUUUUGAAAAACAGAUUUUAAAACUCUGUUUACAUGUAAACGGAAGGCCAAAACCAGUGCGUUUUCAAAAAGAUCCAUAUACAUGUAGGUGCAAACAGAUUCUACAGUAUGUAGGUCUGGGAGGGGUGCACAUUGAAUUCACUUUUGGAAGGUAUGGCUUUAUACUGAUUGUGAUGCUAGCCCACUGCUUCGUGCGCCAUUGCAAUAACAAAGGUAUUUUGCCACCGAUAGCCUGUAUUGUGUUGAAUUGCGAAAUCCAAAUUAAAUGUUUCCAAAUAGCAUGUG
This is a long non-coding RNA of Engraulis encrasicolus (European anchovy), 948 nucleotides long. RefSeq lists it as uncharacterized. The transcript is spliced from 3 exons. NCBI's taxonomy places the organism in Eukaryota, Metazoa, Chordata, Actinopteri, Clupeiformes, Engraulidae. The record is from RefSeq and is a predicted model, not a curated record.